CACGAACGCUGGCGGCAGGCUUAACACAUGCAAGUCGAACGCCCCGCAAGGGGAGUGGCAGACGGGUGAGUAACGCGUGGGAACAUACCCUUUUCUACGGAAUAGCUCUGGGAAACUGGAAUUAAUACCGUAUACGCCCUACGGGGGAAAGAUUUAUCGGGGAAGGAUUGGCCCGCGUUGGAUUAGCUAGUUGGUGGGGUAAAGGCCUACCAAGGCGACGAUCCAUAGCUGGUCUGAGAGGAUGAUCAGCCACAUUGGGACUGAGACACGGCCCAAACUCCUACGGGAGGCAGCAGUGGGGAAUAUUGGACAAUGGGCGCAAGCCUGAUCCAGCCAUGCCGCGUGAGUGAUGAAGGCCUUAGGGUUGUAAAGCUCUUUCACCGAUGAAGAUAAUGACGGUAGUCGGAGAAGAAGCCCCGGCUAACUUCGUG
Molecule: ribosomal RNA, 431 nt
Filed under: uncultured bacterium
Lineage: Bacteria
Description: partial 16S ribosomal RNA
Rfam family: Bacterial small subunit ribosomal RNA
Source: RNAcentral